UACGCAGGGGGCUAGCGUUGCUCGGAAUCACUGGGCGUAAAGCGCACGUAGGCGGAUCUUUAAGUCAGGGGUGAAAUCCUGGAGCUCAACUCCAGAACUGCCUUUGAUACUGGGGAUCUCGAGUCCGGAAGAGGUGAGUGGAACUCCGAGUGUAGAGGUGAAAUUCGUAGAUAUUCGGAAGAACACCAGUGGCGAAGGCGGCUCACUGGUCCGGUACUGACGCUGAGGUGCGAAAGCGUGGGGAGCAAACAGG
Molecule: ribosomal RNA, 253 nt
Filed under: uncultured bacterium
Lineage: Bacteria
Description: partial 16S ribosomal RNA
Rfam family: Bacterial small subunit ribosomal RNA
Source: RNAcentral